Long non-coding RNA from Ornithodoros turicata, 603 nucleotides. RefSeq lists it as uncharacterized. The record is from RefSeq and is a predicted model, not a curated record. NCBI's taxonomy places the organism in Eukaryota, Metazoa, Arthropoda, Arachnida, Ixodida, Argasidae. The transcript is spliced from 2 exons.
CAGAGUACGGUAAGCCAUUAAAUGCCAGGAGUUCAUUGCGAAGCCUCACAACUUGAUGAAUUAUACAGGUCUCAGAAAAGAAGGGGAAGCAAGAGACAAAUCUCGAAAGAAGCAUCAUGUUCAAGUGAUGCAGGUUGGAACGACUGUGCAUCCCGUGCAGAACUGGCUAUCAUGCAGUCCUGAUGGGAUCCUCGAAAUAUACAAUGAGACCCACCUGCUCGACAUCAAAUGUCCAUUUUCACGGCAGAAAAAGAUGCUUGUGAACUACGAAACUGAAGAGUGUUUUGUAGAUUACCUGCAGUUCUGUGGUGGUAAACUUUGCUUGAAAAAGGCUCACCCAUGCUACAAGCAGGUUCAGAUCCAAAUGUAUGUGAUUAAUGUACAAAGAUGUUUUUUCUUUGUCUACACAAGCAAGCAAGAUAUUACUCUACUUGUUCCCCGUGAUGAUGUGGCGUUAGCUCUAGCAGUCCCUAAGCUUGGGAUGUUCUACUUUAACCACUUUUUGAAAGCACUCAGUGCGAGAAAAGAUAGACCGAUAGUGCAGCCAUUCUGUGAGUUUUUAUUAUGUACAAAUGUGUAUAGCAAAAAUACAUUUCAUACCUA